Non-coding RNA from Musa acuminata subsp. malaccensis (wild Malaysian banana), 189 nucleotides. Lineage: Eukaryota; Viridiplantae; Streptophyta; Magnoliopsida; Zingiberales; Musaceae. The record is from Rfam.
GAUUUGCGAAGAGAGCUUCCUUCAGUCCACUCAUGGGUGGCUAUGGGACUUUGAUUAGCUGCCGACUCAUUCAUCCACAUGCCUGGCAAACUAGGGUUUUUGCUCGGCACAUGAGUGAAUGAUGCGGGAGGUAAGUCUGAUCCCAUGCCGUCUUUGCUUGGACUGAAGGGAGCUCCCUUAUCUACCACC